GUUUUUCUCUUCUCAGUAAUCCUGCUUUUCCCCUGAGUUGUUUGGGGCCAGGAUGAUUUCCUUUCCUUCCCUCAGGGGUAGAUGCGACCUUCUAAUUUGAGGGAAUUAUAAAAGUUUGAAUCAUAAAAACACCAGAAGAAAGUACUGAAGAAUACUUACGUAUUUUCUGAGGAUGGCUUAAGGUUGAAACAAAGAUUUUGGCUUAUUUGUAUAAACAUUUUGAACUAGUGAAUAUCAAAAAGUGCAAGUGGGGAAAGAAAGAUCCAUGCACAUUUAGCUGUAAAAGUAAAUGAAACUUU
RNAcentral lists this long non-coding RNA (299 nucleotides) under Bos taurus (domestic cattle). Its description in RNAcentral is "long non-coding RNA NONBTAT017050". The record is from RNAcentral. Lineage: Eukaryota; Metazoa; Chordata; Mammalia; Artiodactyla; Bovidae.